AGAUUGAACGCUGGCGGCAGGCCUAACACAUGCAAGUCGAGCGGCAGCACGGGUACUUGUACCUGGUGGCGAGCGGCGGACGGGUGAGUAAUGCCUAGGAAUCUGCCUGAUAGUGGGGGAUAACGCUCGGAAACGGACGCUAAUACCGCAUACGUCCUACGGGAGAAAGCAGGGGACCUUCGGGCCUUGCGCUAUCGAGAUGAGCCUAGGUCGGAUUAGCUA
Molecule: ribosomal RNA, 222 nt
Filed under: uncultured soil bacterium
Lineage: Bacteria
Description: partial 16S ribosomal RNA
Rfam family: Bacterial small subunit ribosomal RNA
Source: RNAcentral